GCAUAGGUGGAUCAGUGGUAGAAUGCUCGCCUGCCACGCGGGCGGCCCGGGUUCGAUUCCCAGCCGAUGCA
RNAcentral lists this transfer RNA (71 nucleotides) under Cordylochernes scorpioides. RNAcentral describes it as "tRNA-Gly". It matches the Rfam family "tRNA". Rfam says of the family: Transfer RNA (tRNA) molecules are approximately 80 nucleotides in length. Their secondary structure includes four short double-helical elements and three loops (D, anti-codon, and T loops). The record is from RNAcentral. Lineage: Eukaryota; Metazoa; Arthropoda; Arachnida; Pseudoscorpiones; Chernetidae.